RNAcentral lists this long non-coding RNA (273 nucleotides) under Homo sapiens (human). Its description in RNAcentral is "non-protein coding lnc-C9orf92-5:1". The record is from RNAcentral. Lineage: Eukaryota; Metazoa; Chordata; Mammalia; Primates; Hominidae.
GCCCGGCACCACCAGCCUCAUUGAGGACAUUGACAAAAAAUACUUGGUCCUGCUUCAAGAUGGAAGGACACUUAAUAGACUUAAGAAGUAUUGAUCAAUUUGGACUUGGAAAAUGAGAAUGACACACCCCUCCAGCAAGUAUCCAUUGAAGAAAUCCUAGAAGACCAAAGCGUGGACCAGCAGACCAGGCUGGAAGUAGAGGAACUGAAAGUUCAGGCCCACUGGGAUCAAGGUCUUUCCAUUCCUUGAGCAGAUACUCUUGAUGAGUAUUAA